AUAACGACUCUCGGCAACGGAUAUCUCGGCUCUCGCAUCGAUGAAGAACGUAGCGAAAUGCGAUACUUGGUGUGAAUUGCAGAAUCCCGUGAACCAUCGAGUCUUUGAACGCAAGUUGCGCCCAAAGCCUUUAGGCCAAGGGCACGUCUGCCUGGGUGUCACAA
Molecule: ribosomal RNA, 164 nt
Filed under: Lyrocarpa coulteri var. palmeri
Lineage: Eukaryota; Viridiplantae; Streptophyta; Magnoliopsida; Brassicales; Brassicaceae
Description: 5.8S ribosomal RNA
Rfam family: 5.8S ribosomal RNA
About the family: 5.8S ribosomal RNA (5.8S rRNA) is a component of the large subunit of the eukaryotic ribosome. It is transcribed by RNA polymerase I as part of the 45S precursor that also contains 18S and 28S rRNA.
Source: RNAcentral